Molecule: ribosomal RNA, 253 nt
Filed under: uncultured bacterium
Lineage: Bacteria
Description: partial small subunit ribosomal RNA
Rfam family: Bacterial small subunit ribosomal RNA
Source: RNAcentral
AGAGCGAACGCUGGCGGCAGGCUUAACACAUGCAAGUCGAACGGAAAGGCCCUUUCGGGGUGCUCGAGUGGCGAACGGGUGAGUAACACGUGGGUGAUCUGCCCUGCACUUUGGGAUAAGCCUGGGAAACUGGGUCUAAUACCGAAUACACCUUGCUGGCUGCAUGGCUGGUGGUGGAAAGGAUUCCGGCUAGGGAUGGGCUCGCGGCCUAUCAGCUUGUGGUGGGUAACGCCUACCAAGGCGACGACGGGUA